UCGGGAAUCUUGCACAAUGGGCGAAAGCCUGAUGCAGCAACGCCGUGUGGGCGAGGAAGGUCUUCGGAUCGUAAAGCCCUGUUGUUGGGGACGAAGGGCGAAGGGUUAAUAGCCCCUAGCCUGACGGUACCCUUCGAGGAAGCCCCGGCUAACUCCGUGCCAGCAGCCGCGGUAAUACGGAGGGGGCUAGCGUUGUUCGGAAUCACUGGGCGUAAAGCGCGCGUAGGCGGUAUUGUAAGCUAGAGGUGAAAGCCCGGGGCUCAACUCCGGAAUUGCCUUUAAGACUGCAACACUAGAAUCCGGGAGAGGUGAGUGGAAUUCCGAGUGUAGAGGUGAAAUUCGUAGAUAUUCGGAAGAACACCAGUGGCGAAGGCGGCUCACUGGACCGGUAUUGACGCUGAGGCGCGAAAGCGUGGGGAGCAAACAGGAUUAGAUACCCCUGUAGUCC
Molecule: ribosomal RNA, 448 nt
Filed under: uncultured prokaryote
Description: bacterial SSU rRNA
Rfam family: Bacterial small subunit ribosomal RNA
Source: RNAcentral